RNAcentral lists this ribosomal RNA (248 nucleotides) under uncultured Lachnospiraceae bacterium. RNAcentral describes it as "partial 16S ribosomal RNA". It matches the Rfam family "Bacterial small subunit ribosomal RNA", at positions 524 to 771 of the family's 1533-position model. Lineage: Bacteria; Bacillati; Bacillota; Clostridia; Lachnospirales; Lachnospiraceae. The record is from RNAcentral.
UACGUAGGGGGCAAGCGUUAUCCGGAUUUACUGGGUGUAAAGGGAGCGUAGACGGCCAGACAAGUCAGAAGUGAAAGCCCGGGGCUCAACUCCGGGACUGCUUUUGAAACUGCCGGGCUGGAGUGCAGGAGAGGUAAGCGGAAUUCCUGGUGUAGCGGUGAAAUGCGUAGAUAUCAGGAGGAACACCAGUGGCGAAGGCGGCUUACUGGACUGUAACUGACGUUGAGGCUCGAAAGCGUGGGGAGCAA